Long non-coding RNA from Canis lupus familiaris (dog), 447 nucleotides. RefSeq lists it as uncharacterized. NCBI's taxonomy places the organism in Eukaryota, Metazoa, Chordata, Mammalia, Carnivora, Canidae. The transcript is spliced from 3 exons. The record is from RefSeq and is a predicted model, not a curated record.
ACUUUGGGGACCUUUUUCUGACAGGGUGACCCACAGUUCAACCGAUGUGAUAUUUGUCGAAUGAUAAUGACUUGGCUGAGGACUUGCGUGGGACCGUCCCAGAUUCAGGAAGCCAUUCAGAAGGCUACAACAGCGGUGUGCUCAAAGAUUCCAGCGGUGGAAAAAGUCUGCAAAGAUAUCCUCACCAGAGUUUUGUGUAGUGUUGCCCAGUUUUUCCUGAAUAGUGAUCCCUCCAGGGAUAUCUGUGUGACCUUCAGGUUGUGCAGAUAUCAAGUAGGUGUCCAAGGAGCUGGGACCUUACUCCACCCCGGGGAGAAGCACAGAGUCUCCAGCAGGCACCGCCAGCUCCUGCCUUCCUAAAUCCAGGACGGACCCUCCAGUUUCUCUCAGCUAGCUCCCUGCAGUGUCGUCCCCUGGCAGGAGAAUAAAAUGUCUUGCAAGCUUUUG